This 228-nucleotide ribosomal RNA is filed under the name Triticum aestivum (bread wheat). RNAcentral's name for it is "partial small subunit ribosomal RNA". The record is from RNAcentral. Lineage: Eukaryota; Viridiplantae; Streptophyta; Magnoliopsida; Poales; Poaceae.
AUUCUCAGAAUAUAUGGAGAUGCUUUAGGUCAGCGUGUUAAUCAUGACAAGAGUUCCAUUUUCUUUCCUUCUAACACUCCUGAUACUGUGAGGAAUUCUUUGAAGGCGAUACUGAACAUUCAGGUGGAGGCCUUUAGUGAGAAAUAUUUGGGUUUGCCCACGGCAGUCGGGCGUAUCACGAGCGGUACUUUUGAUCAUAUGAGUGAACGAGCUCAUGGAAAAAUUUAG